RNAcentral lists this ribosomal RNA (653 nucleotides) under uncultured Pseudomonadota bacterium. RNAcentral describes it as "bacterial SSU rRNA". It matches the Rfam family "Bacterial small subunit ribosomal RNA", at positions 783 to 1435 of the family's 1533-position model. Lineage: Bacteria; Pseudomonadati; Pseudomonadota. The record is from RNAcentral.
UACCCUGGUAAUCCACGCCGUAAACGAUGUCUACUUGGAGGUUGUGGCCUUGAGCCGUGGCUUUCGGAGCUAACGCGUUAAGUAGACCGCCUGGGGAGUACGGUCGCAAGAUUAAAACUCAAAUGAAUUGACGGGGGCCCGCACAAGCGGUGGAGCAUGUGGUUUAAUUCGAUGCAACGCGAAGAACCUUACCUACUCUUGACAUCCAGAGAACUUUCCAGAGAUGGAUUGGUGCCUUCGGGAACUCUGAGACAGGUGCUGCAUGGCUGUCGUCAGCUCGUGUUGUGAAAUGUUGGGUUAAGUCCCGCAACGAGCGCAACCCUUGUCCUUGUUUGCCUGCGAGUAAUGUCGGGAACUCCAGGGAGACUGCCGGUGAUAAACCGGAGGAAGGUGGGGACGACGUCAAGUCAUCAUGGCCCUUACGAGUAGGGCUACACACGUGCUACAAUGGCGCAUACAGAGGGCAGCCAACUUGCGAAAGUGAGCGAAUCCCAAAAAGUGCGUCGUAGUCCGGAUUGGAGUCUGCAGCUCGACUCCAUGAAGUCGGAAUCGCUAGUAAUCGUGGAUCAGAAUGCCACGGUGAAUACGUUCCCGGGCCUUGUACACACCGCCCGUCACACCAUGGGAGUGGGCUGCAAAAGAAGUAGGUAGUU